This 148-nucleotide unclassified non-coding RNA is filed under the name soil metagenome. RNAcentral describes it as "partial internal transcribed spacer 1". The record is from RNAcentral.
GCCGAGUUUACAACUCCCAAACCCCUGUGAACAUACCACUUGUUGCCUCGGCGGAUCAGCCCGCUCCCGGUAAAACGGGACGGCCCGCCAGAGGACCCCUAAACUCUGUUUCUAUAUGUAACUUCUGAGUAAAACCAUAAAUAAAUCA